RNAcentral lists this ribosomal RNA (506 nucleotides) under uncultured bacterium. Its description in RNAcentral is "partial 16S ribosomal RNA". It matches the Rfam family "Bacterial small subunit ribosomal RNA", at positions 29 to 523 of the family's 1533-position model. The record is from RNAcentral.
AUUGAACGCUGGCGGCAGGCCUAACACAUGCAAGUCGGACGGUAGCACAGAGGAGCUUGCUCCUCGGGUGACGAGUGGCGGACGGGUGAGUAAUGUCUGGGGAUCUGCCCGAUAGAGGGGGAUAACCACUGGAAACGGUGGCUAAUACCGCAUAACGUCGCAAGACCAAAGAGGGGGACCUUCGGGCCUCUCACUAUCGGAUGAACCCAGAUGGGAUUAGCUAGUAGGCAGGGUAACGGCCCACCUAGGCGACGAUCCCUAGCUGGUCCGAGAGGAUGACCGGCCACACUGGAACGGAGAAGCGGUCCAGACUCCUACGGGAGGCAGCAGUGGGGAAUAUUGCACAAUGGGCGCAAGCCUGAUGCAGCCAUGCCGCGUGUAUGAAGAAGGCCUUCGGGUUGUAAAGUACUUUCAGCGGGGAGGAAGGCGAUGUGGUUAAUAACCGCAUUGAUUGACGUUACCCGCAGAAGAAGCACCGGCUAACUCCGUGCCAGCCGCCGCCGUAA